This is a long non-coding RNA of Tarenaya hassleriana, 854 nucleotides long. RefSeq lists it as uncharacterized. The record is from RefSeq and is a predicted model, not a curated record. Lineage: Eukaryota; Viridiplantae; Streptophyta; Magnoliopsida; Brassicales; Cleomaceae. The transcript has 2 exons.
UCCAAUCGCAUGUGCCUUAUGAUGAUGAAGCGUACAAUUCCAGAGGUUUUCCGAGGUUCCAUCUAUGAUGAUGAGAACGCAAGUAAGUUCAUGAAAGCAGUAGCGGCUCGUUUUGAAAGAAAUGAGAAGCAGGAAACAAGCUCGCUUUUGAUGAAAUUAUUUCCAAAAGGUAUAAGGGAAAUGGGAUUCGGGAAUACAUCAUGGAGAUGUCUGAUCUUGCUUCACAGCUCAAGGCAUUCAAGAUAGAUUUGUCUGAUGACUUACUAGUGCACUUGAUAUUGUUGUCUCUUCCUGUACAGUAUGGAUCCUUUAAGAUCAUAUACAACUGUCAACAAGCCAAAUGGUCUCUUAACGAGCUCAUUUCGCAUUGUGUGCAAGAAGAAGAGCGAUUGAAGCUUGAAAAACCUGAAAGUGCUCACCUUGCGGUCUCUAGAAAGGAUAAAAAUAAGAAACGUCCUCAGAAAAAGAAAAGUGAUGAUGGUCCUGUCAAGAAGAUGCAAAAAAAAAGCAGGAUAAGAGUGGUGCGUGCUUUUUUUGUAAGAAGAUGAGACACAUGAAGAAGGAUUGCACUGGCUAUCAUGGCUGGCUUGCAAAGAAAGGGUUGCCUAAGCCAUCGAAAACCAAGUGAUGCUGAAAGAUUCAUCUAUGUUGGCGACGGGAAUAAAGUUGAAGUGGAGGCUAUCUGCAUUUUUAGAUUAUUAUUGAGUUCUUGUUUUUAUUUGGAUGAGACAUUUGUUGUACCGUCAUUUAGACGGAAUUUGGUUUCUAUUUCUACAUUGGACAAAUUCGGUUAUUCUUGUUCCUUUGGAAAUGGUUUAUUUCGUCUUUUCCGUAAUUCGAAUUUACUUGGUACC